RNAcentral lists this ribosomal RNA (279 nucleotides) under uncultured bacterium. RNAcentral describes it as "partial 16S ribosomal RNA". It matches the Rfam family "Bacterial small subunit ribosomal RNA", at positions 506 to 784 of the family's 1533-position model. The record is from RNAcentral.
UGCCAGCCGCCGCGGUAAUACUGAAGGUGCAAGCGUUAAUCGGAAUCACUGGGCGUAAAGCGCGCGUAGGCGGCUAUUUAAGUCAGAUGUGAAAGUCCACGGCUCAACUGUGGAAGUGCAUUUGAAACUGGAUAGCUUGAGUACUGGAGGGGGUGGUGGAAUUCCCGGUGUAGAGGUGAAAUUCGUAGAUAUCGGGAGGAAUACCGGUGGCGAAGGCGACCACCUGGCCAGAUACUGACGCUGAGGUGCGAAAGCGUGGGCAGCAAACAGCAUUAGAUA